This 460-nucleotide ribosomal RNA is filed under the name uncultured bacterium. Its description in RNAcentral is "partial 16S ribosomal RNA". It matches the Rfam family "Bacterial small subunit ribosomal RNA", at positions 338 to 795 of the family's 1533-position model. The record is from RNAcentral.
CCUACGGGAGGCAGCAGUGAGGAAUAUUGGUCAAUGGGCUUACGCCUGAACCAGCCAAGUCGCGUGAGGGAAGACUGCCCUAUGGGUUGUAAACCUCUUUUGUCAGGGAGCAACGCCGGCUACGUGUAGCCGGACUGAGAGUACCUGAAGAAAAAGCAUCGGCGAACUCCGUGCCAGCAGCCGCGGUAAUACGGAGGAUGCGAGCGUUAUCCGGAUUUAUUGGGUUUAAAGGGUGCGUAGGCGGAAUGCCAAGUCAGCGGUAAAAGCGCGGGACUCAACCUCGCUCCGCCGUUGAAACUGGCGUUCUUGAGUGGGCGAGAAGUAUGCGGAAUGCGUGGUGUAGCGGUGAAAUGCAUAGAUAUCACGCAGAACUCCGAUUGCGAAGGCAGCAUACCGGCGCCCAACUGACGCUGAAGCACGAAAGCGUGGGUAUCGAACAGGAUUAGAUAUCCUUGUAGUC